GUGCUCCUUGGGCAGCACACACGCUAAAAUGGGAAGGAUGCAGAGAAGACUUGCGUGGCCCCUGUGCAAGGAUGGCACGCGAAUUCGUGAAGUGUUCCAGAUUUCC
Small nuclear RNA from Phyllostomus hastatus (greater spear-nosed bat), 106 nucleotides. NCBI's taxonomy places the organism in Eukaryota, Metazoa, Chordata, Mammalia, Chiroptera, Phyllostomidae. The record is from RefSeq and is a predicted model, not a curated record.